Molecule: ribosomal RNA, 408 nt
Filed under: uncultured bacterium
Lineage: Bacteria
Description: partial 16S ribosomal RNA
Rfam family: Bacterial small subunit ribosomal RNA
Source: RNAcentral
GACGAACGCUGGCGGCGUGCUUAACACAUGCAAGUCGAACGAAGUGGCGAACGGGUGAGUAACGCGUAAUCAACCUGCCCUUCAGAGGGGGACAACAGUUGGAAACGACUGCUAAUACCGCAUACGGAAGGAGGGGAUUGCGUGUGAUUGGGUAGUUGGAGGGGUAAGGGCCCACCAGGGCGAGGAGCAGUAGCAGGUCUGAGAGGAGGAACGGCCACAUGGGGACGGAGACACUGCCCAGACUCCUACGGGAGGCAGCAGUGGGGAAUCUUCCGCAAUGGACGAAAGUCUGACGGAGCAACGCCGCGUGAGUGAUGACGGCCUUCGGGUUGUAAAGCUCUGUUAAUCGGGACGCGGUACCGGAAUAGAAAGCCACGGCUAACUACGUGCCAGCAGCCGCGGUAAUUC